RNAcentral lists this ribosomal RNA (439 nucleotides) under uncultured bacterium. RNAcentral describes it as "partial 16S ribosomal RNA". It matches the Rfam family "Bacterial small subunit ribosomal RNA", at positions 339 to 795 of the family's 1533-position model. The record is from RNAcentral.
CUACGGGUGGCUCCAGUGAGGAAUAUUGCACAAUGGGGGAAACCCUGAUGCAGCAACGCCGCGUGGAGGAUGACGCAUUUCGGUGUGUAAACUCCUUUUAUGAGUCAAGAAAAUGACGGUAGCUCAUGAAUAAGCACCGGCUAACUCCGUGCCAGCAGCCGCGGUAAUACGGAGGGUGCAAGCGUUACUCGGAAUCACUGGGCGUAAAGGACGCGUAGGCGGGAUGUCAAGUCAGGUGUGAAACUCUAUGGCUCAACCAUAGAACUGCACUUGAAACUGGCAACCUAGAGUAUGGGAGGGGGAGAUGGAAUUAGUGGUGUAGGGGUAAAAUCCGUAGAUAUCACUAGGAAUACCGAAAGCGAAGGCGAUCUCCUGGAACAUUACUGACGCUAAGGCGUGAAAGCGUGGGGAGCAAACAGGAUUAGAUACCCUAGUAGUC